Molecule: ribosomal RNA, 425 nt
Filed under: uncultured bacterium
Lineage: Bacteria
Description: partial 16S ribosomal RNA
Rfam family: Bacterial small subunit ribosomal RNA
Source: RNAcentral
GUGGGGAAUAUUGGACAAUGGGCGCAAGCCUGAUCCAGCCAUGCCGCGUGAGUGAUGAAGGCCCUAGGGUUGUAAAGCUCUUUCAGUGGGGACGAUAAUGACGGUACCCACAGAAGAAGCCCCGGCUAACUUCGUGCCAGCAGCCGCGGUAAUACGAAGGGGGCUAGCGUUGUUCGGAUUUACUGGGCGUAAAGCGCACGUAGGCGGAUCGUUAAGUCGAGGGUGAAAGCCUGGAGCGCAACUCCAGAACUGCCUUCGAUACUGGCGAUCUUGAGUCCGGAAGAGGUGAGUGGAACUCCUAGUGUAGAGGUGGAAUUCGUAGAUAUUAGGAAGAACACCAGUGGCGAAGGCGGCUCACUGGUCCGGUACUGACGCUGAGGUGCGAAAGCGUGGGGAGCAAACAGGAUUAGAUACCCCGGUAGUCC